This 497-nucleotide ribosomal RNA is filed under the name uncultured bacterium. RNAcentral's name for it is "partial 16S ribosomal RNA". It matches the Rfam family "Bacterial small subunit ribosomal RNA", at positions 28 to 507 of the family's 1533-position model. The record is from RNAcentral.
GAUGAACGCUGGCGGCGUGCCUAAUACAUGCAAGUCGAGCGGACAGAUAAGGAGCUUGCUCCUUUGACGUUAGCGGCGGACGGGUGAGUAACACGUGGGUAACCUACCUAUAAGACUGGGAUAACUUCGGGAAACCGGAGCUAAUACCGGAUAAUAUUUCGAACCGCAUGGUUCGAUAGUGAAAGAUGGCUUUGCUAUCACUUAUAGAUGGACCCGCGCCGUAUUAGCUAGUUGGUAAGGUAACGGCUUACCAAGGCGACGAUACGUAGCCGACCUGAGAGGGUGAUCGGCCACACUGGAACUGAGACACGGUCCAGACUCCUACGGGAGGCAGCAGUAGGGAAUCUUCCGCAAUGGGCGAAAGCCUGACGGAGCAACGCCGCGUGAGUGAUGAAGGUCUUCGGAUCGUAAAACUCUGUUAUUAGGGAAGAACAUACGUGUAAGUAACUGUGCACGUCUUGACGGUACCUAAUCAGAAAGCCACGGCUAACUACGUG